Molecule: ribosomal RNA, 492 nt
Filed under: uncultured bacterium
Lineage: Bacteria
Description: partial 16S ribosomal RNA
Rfam family: Bacterial small subunit ribosomal RNA
Source: RNAcentral
AGUGAACGCUGGCGGUAGGCCUAACACAUGCAAGUCGAACGGCAGCACAGUAAGAGCUUGCUCUUACGGGUGGCGAGUGGCGGACGGGUGAGGAAUACAUCGGAAUCUACUUUUUCGUGGGGGAUAACGUAGGGAAACUUACGCUAAUACCGCAUACGACCUACGGGUGAAAGCAGGGGAUCUUCGGACCUUGCGCGAUUGAAUGAGCCGAUGUCGGAUUAGCUAGUUGGCGGGGUAAAGGCCCACCAAGGCGACGAUCCGUAGCUGGUCUGAGAGGAUGGUCAGCCGCACUGGAACUGAGACACGGUCCAGACUCCUAAGGGAGGCAGCAGUGGGGAAUAUUGGACAAUGGGCGCAAGCCUGAUCCAGCCAUACCGCGUGGGUGAAGAAGGCCUUCGGGUUGUAAAGCCCUUUUGUUGGGAAAGAAAAGCAGCAGGUUAAUACCCCGCUGUUCUGACGGUACCCAAAGAAUAAGCACCGGCUAACUUCGUG